This 522-nucleotide ribosomal RNA is filed under the name Pestalotiopsis oxyanthi. Its description in RNAcentral is "eukaryotic LSU rRNA". The stretch from base 175 to 328 matches the Rfam family "5.8S ribosomal RNA". The record is from RNAcentral. Lineage: Eukaryota; Fungi; Ascomycota; Sordariomycetes; Amphisphaeriales; Sporocadaceae.
AACCUGCGGAGGGAUCAUUAUAGAGUUUUCUAAACUACGGCUUAUAACUCCAACCCAUGUGAACUUACCUUUGUUGCCUCGGCAGAAGUUAUAGGUCUUCUUAUAGCUGCUGCCGGUGGACCAUUAAACUCUUGUUAUUUUAUGUAAUCUGAGCGUCUUAUUUUAAUAAGUCAAAACUUUCAACAACGGAUCUCUUGGUUCUGGCAUCGAUGAAGAACGCAGCGAAAUGCGAUAAGUAAUGUGAAUUGCAGAAUUCAGUGAAUCAUCGAAUCUUUGAACGCACAUUGCGCCCAUUAGUAUUCUAGUGGGCAUGCCUGUUCGAGCGUCAUUUCAACCCUUAAGCCUAGCUUAGUGUUGGGAAUCUACUUCUUUAUAGUUGUAGUUCCUGAAAUACAACGGCGGAUUUGUAGUAUCCUCUGAGCGUAGUAAUUUUUUUCUCGCUUUUGUUAGGUGCUAUAACUCCCAGCCGCUAAACCCCCAAUUUUUUGUGGUUGACCUCGGAUCAGGUAGGAAUACCCGCUG